Molecule: ribosomal RNA, 502 nt
Filed under: uncultured bacterium
Lineage: Bacteria
Description: partial 16S ribosomal RNA
Rfam family: Bacterial small subunit ribosomal RNA
Source: RNAcentral
AUUGAACGCUGGCGGCAGGCUUAACACAUGCAAGUCGAGCGGGGUGAUGGUGCUUGCACUAUCACUUAGCGGCGGACGGGUGGGUAAUGCUUAGGAAUCUGCCUAUUAGUGGGGGACAACAUCUCGAAAGGGAUGCUAAUACCGCAUACGUCCUACGGGAGAAAGCAGGGGAUCACUUGUGACCUUGCGCUAAUAGAUGAGCCUAAGUCGGAUUAGCUAGUUGGUGGGGUAAAGGCCUACCAAGGCGACGAUCUGUAGCGGGUCUGAGAGGAUGAUCCGCCACACUGGGACUGAGACACGGCCCAGACUCCUACGGGAGGCAGCAGUGGGGAAUAUUGGACAUGGGGGGAACCCUGAUCCAGCCAUGCCGCGUGUGUGAAGAAGGCCUUAUGGUUGUAAAGCACUUUAAGCGAGGAGGAGGCUCUUUUGGUUAAUACCCAAGAUGAGUGGACGUUACUCGCAGAAUAAGCACCGGCUAACUCUGUGCCAGCCGCCGCAGUAA